AAGGUAGUAGCCACGAGCAAGCAUAAAAGACAACUCUAAAUGGAUCUGAAACGUCCUUACGAAUACCAAACGGGAUCGUUUUAAAGUGCGCCUCUUCGUCAUUCACAAAAAAUUAGUAAUUCCCCGUUUAAUAAUAAUAAUAAUCUUAAGAAAAAAAAUGUUUUCCAAUAUUUAAUUUUUUAUCCAUCUUUGUCAAUUUAUUUAUUCGUUCUAUGGAUUAUAUUUUAACAGUAAAUAAUUUAGUAGUAUAUAUUAACGUCAUUUCGUUUUGACUUGUAUUAGGUACAGCAUUGAGUUGAGAAACGGAACAGUUUUUGGAGAAAACGGGAAAGUGAAGAAGACGCGCUGGAGUAGAAGGUGUGAUGGACGCGCAGGAGCAAGACAGGAAUUUGCAUAGUAAAAUAUGUGGGUGUGGUGUGAAUUUCUAAACCCCGUUUGUUCCAUUUAGGAGAAUAAGCAUGGAAAGAAGAAGAGAGUAAUGGUUGUGGAUAGCUUUGUGUGUGAGUGCGUCCUUUUUAUUCUCUUGUCCUCUGCUACUGCCUUUACAACAAAAAUAAUACUAAUAUUUUAUUUCUCCCUCAACACAUUUUAUUUUAUUUUAUAACAAAUUAAAUUCCCAUUAUUUUUCUUCAAAAUACUCUAUUAAAAUUCUUAAUAUAGGCAUAAAGGCAUUCUAUUUCGAGAAUUAAUAUUCUUGUUAUGGUAUGUCCAAAAUUCAAAAUCAAUGUUUAAUAGUUUAUAACAAAAAUUCUUUUAAUUCAUAAAAAUAUCUUUUAAAAUAAAAUCGUGAUAAAAUUAAAAUAUUUUAAAAAAAAUACCUCAUAUGCUUUUGGUUAAUAUAAUAUUUUUUUCUAAAUAAAUUAAAAAGAAUCAUAUUUCACAUAACGAUACAAUCCUUGGGUUUAUGCAAUUUUGUAGGUCAUCCAUAAAACAAAAAAGUUAAGAGGAAUCUAUUCCCUUAUCUUGUAGAUCUCCCAGCCGUUGGAUCUUCACAGGUAAUCCCAUGGAAUUGGACUUGGACCGUUGGAUGGGAUCCUGUAGUGUCAGAUGGUCCCACCCGCACUCAUCGCCUCCACCGCCCACCCUUUUCAGCCAAAACCGGCUAAAGGCGAUUCAGGUUUGCUAGCCAUCACACUGUGGGCGCCCGCAUUGCAAGAGAAAAUUUUGCACCGUUGGAUCUGCUCAAUGGAGAUUAUGUUUUAACCAUCGAAGCGCGAAAUUUAGAAGGAAAAGUCAAAUUGGUUUCAUUUUCAGACACAGUUACAAAGUGCAAAAUAUUUAUAAUUAAUUAUUAAAAAAUUGUUUGGGAAUAUCAAGGAAAAAGAGGGGGUUUUUAAAGAAUAUACCUUUUGAUAUUCGGAUCCUAGAAUGCACGUGCCAUGUUUGAGGGUGAGUCAUCGAUGGGGUGGCUCAUCUCACACACACGCACACACAUGUCACCACUCACCAACACAACACAGCAUUUUCCAAAGAAGAUAAUAUAAAUAUAAUGUGUUGUUUUUGUUUUUGGAGAAAAUAUUGCGAAAUAGGAAAAGAAAGAAGCAAGAAAAAAAGUAGCAUGUGGAUCUGGACUCUGGACUUAGACCAUGUGUGCUUCUUUGUCCCACCAGAUCUUCCCUCUAUAUCUUAUUCUCACCACUUCCACUUGCACAGUUUCAACUUUUUCAAAAUAAAUUUUUUUAAUUAAUUUGUACAAUUAGGUAUCUUUACACUGUGCCCUACAACUCCAAACAUUACAUGAAAAAUUCAUUCAUCUUUGAAAGUUAACACACAUAGAACACAUGCUACAAAGCGGAAUGAAUACUACUUACAAUUACAAGAUAACAACACAAUAGAGCUUGAUAAAGAAAUAAUGGGUGAAGAAAUAGUGUUGAAAUAUCUGAAAAAUGUUUGUUUUGUUUAUUGUUUGAUUGAUGGGUGUGAGAUAAAUAUUUGUGGAAGGAGUUGAGAAAAUGGGAUUUGGAUGAGGGAGAUGAAAUGUAGAAAAAGGAAAGUGGGAAAAGAAUACAAGUGGAAGUAAAGGUUUGGAGGAAUGGGAAGGGUAGACUGAGAGUGACGUUUCUCCAUCCCCAAUUCUCCACAAACCACAAUCGUCCCUUUCACCACUUUAUGAUUCUUCUUCCAAUUCAAAGACCUUAGCAAUGGCUAAGGUAAUGCCACGUCUCCACAUGUUUUUUCAACAACAAAAAAUCUACCCUGCAAUCAAAGCAUAUUCUACCUUCAUUGUAACGAUUUUCCUGAAAUACAAGUAUUGCAUUCCAGACUAUUUACAGAUGUGAAUUGCUACACGUAGAAGAAAUAGUAUCACUUAAAAGAGAAACAAAAUUAUAUAAAAUCGAUUACUGAUUAUAACAUGUAAAUUGCCC
Molecule: long non-coding RNA, 2366 nt
Filed under: Phaseolus vulgaris (common bean)
Lineage: Eukaryota; Viridiplantae; Streptophyta; Magnoliopsida; Fabales; Fabaceae
Description: long non-coding RNA (PVUL_LNC004727)
Source: RNAcentral